Molecule: long non-coding RNA, 1012 nt
Organism: Quercus robur (English oak)
Lineage: Eukaryota; Viridiplantae; Streptophyta; Magnoliopsida; Fagales; Fagaceae
Exons: 4
Source: RefSeq, a predicted model, not a curated record
CCUAACCUAACAGGCCCAACCCAAAUCCAUCAACGAUAUUCACAGCAACUCUUCUUCUUCUUCUUCCACUACGCCACGACCCAAGUCUUUCUCAGUUCUAACAAUGGAGAAAGUGGGUUCGAAAGUUACAAUUCCCUGAUUUAUUAUUAGCUCCAGGGUUCAUACAUCAGAGAUGCUUAAUCUGUUGUCGAUGUUACUGAUACCAUGAGCCUUCCAAAAAAGCUCGCGCACUCGACGACUCCGAGAUUGGGAUCAAGGUGGUAGAAACUGCUCAGUUCAGGCAGAUCUAUCGAAGCAGGGAAGUUGGUCAAUCAUAUUUAGCAUCUGUUUGGACAACCUUGAUUGUGAUGGCUCAUGCACUCUAGCUAAUGACUAAAAUUAGACCCCAAGUGAGGAGCAUUAGUGAAAAUGUACUUUUAUCUGGACUCUUACUUGGGACAGACCAAAUGGAAGUUUUACACUUUUUUAGGCCCCAAUUUAGGUGGACAAUUUCUUGAAUAUCAUUAUGAAGAUGGGAAUGGUACUUAUCUUUGGCAGGCUAGUUGGCAUCUUGGUCCUCUGUUGCUUAAAUAUGUACCUCGUAUCAGCAAUGAUAGUCAGAGUUUGUUGCUCUUUCCUUGGUACUUGAAGCCUUCUCCAAUGCAAAUUUUCCAUGGUUGGUAAUGAGUUAGUACAAGCUCAGCAAAACAGAUGUUUGCACUCAUUGGGAACGUUCAGUUUCCAUAGGACUCUUCACCCAAACAACUCGGUGCUCGGAAGAGGAUAAAUUUUCUACAGGCACAGCCAAUGUAUUUAUUUACUCUUUUAUCUCUUGUAUCAAAGAGUUGUUCUAAAAGUGAGACCAUUCCACCAACGAGUAUCAUUGUCCAAAUAAAUCUCGAACCACCACAAUUUGUUCGGCACUAUGACUUGUUGUUUCUUGAACAUUUGUAUUGUAUAGUUUUGUAUUAUGGUGCACACGUGAUAUACUAAAAGGUUUAUUCAAUGUCAAUGCUGUUGAAUUGUAGUUAAA